UUGUAGAUGUUAAAAGCAAGAGACAUGGGAGAUCAUCAUUCCCUUGAGAUUUUAUAACUCAAACCAACUUUGGAGUUGUCUGAUUUGGAGAGUCAUUAUUCUUGGUCUGCGCUCUUAGAGGCCACUGAUGAAGAGCAGGCGGUGACUGGGAUGAAUGCUGGUCAGAGAGGAGAAUUUUCUUUCCCCUAAACAGCACUGGUUUUAAAGGAGAACGCUGCCCUGGAUGAUGUAGAUGUCACAUGCUGUGCUGAUGGGGUUUCUUCAUGAUUACAUCAGUUAUGCUAAAGAGAUCAUGAAAAUUGACCAUGAUGCAUGAUCUGUAUUCAUGGACAAUGAAACAAACUGUAAGUGUAUAAUUUGUUAAAAAAAAAAAAGUUAAAUGCUUUUUCUGUGUUGUUUAGUAGAAAAGUUUACACUGUCAUUCAUACACCUGCUAACAUUCUUUCACACACACACACACACACACACACACACACACACAUGCAUCUGUUAAAGGUUAUAAUAUCAAAGUUAAUGUUGUGAUUUAUUUGUGUACUGUCAUGCCAGAAUAGUUGGAAAAAAACCUAACUAAUUGUAAAUUUAUUGUAUGUGUUUUCAUAUAUUUUUAUACAAUAUAUACAAUUGAACAAAGUCCAAUUUGAUCUUAAGUUAUAUUCAUCAAAUGUUCAAUGCUUUGUUUAUGAACUCUGUAGCUGUUAAUGCCAUCCUUUUCUGCAUUUCUUCUAACAUGUUACUUUUUGACUCUUCUCUUGUUUUUAAUAAAUAUUUUCCUUUUGGUAAUUA
Molecule: long non-coding RNA, 783 nt
Organism: Carassius gibelio (silver crucian carp)
Lineage: Eukaryota; Metazoa; Chordata; Actinopteri; Cypriniformes; Cyprinidae
Exons: 3
Source: RefSeq, a predicted model, not a curated record